Molecule: ribosomal RNA, 496 nt
Filed under: uncultured bacterium
Lineage: Bacteria
Description: partial 16S ribosomal RNA
Rfam family: Bacterial small subunit ribosomal RNA
Source: RNAcentral
ACGAACGCUGGCGGCGUGCCUAAUACAUGCAAGUUGAGCGAUGAAGAUUGGUGCUUGCACCAAUUUGAAGAGCAGCGAACGGGUGAGUAACGCGUGGGGAAUCUGCCUUUGAGCGGGGGACAACAUUUGGAAACGAAUGCUAAUACCGCAUAACAACUUUAAACAUAAGUUUUAAGUUUGAAAGAUGCAAUUGCAUCACUCAAAGAUGAUCCCGCGUUGUAUUAGCUAGUUGGUGAGGUAAAGGCUCACCAAGGCGAUGAUACAUAGCCGACCUGAGAGGGUGCUCGGCCACCUUGGGACUGAGACACGGCCCAAACUCCUACGGGAGGCAGCAGUAGGGAAUCUUCGGCAAUGGACGAAAGUCUGACCGAGCAACGCCGCGUGAGUGAAGAAGGUUUUCGGAUCGUAAAACUCUGUUGGUAGAGAAGAACGUUGGUGAGAGUGGAAAGCUCAUCAAGUGACGGUAACUACCCAGAAAGGGACGGCUAACUACGUG